CCCAGUAUUGUAAAUUUGAACAAUUCAUUCUAUUUAUUUAUGCAUAAAGACAACACAAGGACAACGCACAUGAACAUUUUGGAAAAUGUGCCAUUGUUUCAACUACAAACCUUUGGCAAGAUGUUUAAGCCUGCCACACACGAGAGCAAUCAGCUGAGCAAACGGCCUCGAAUGACUGUUUGCUCAGCAGAUUGCUCGCUGUGUGCGCCUGAUUUUGACUGAGUUUUCUGCCUCACGAGACGCUGAGGUGAAUAUCUGACCAGUUAGAUAUUUUCCACCUCACAGGGGUAAAAACUCGCUGUGUGCGCACUACUGAGCUGCUGGUUGAGCUGAAAUAUUCUAGUGGCCAACCAAAGCACGUUUUCCACUCACAUGACCCCAAGAUGUAUUCAGAUGCAGCCCCUUACCCUGUCUGCGUGUCUGAAAAAUAAACAAAACGGUACCUUGCGGAUCGAUGGGCCCACUGUUUCCAUUACCCUUUCGGAAGGAUUCUGGGUCUUCCAGGUGUGUCUUGGAGUAAAUUGGCAUAAACUCCUGGCCUGGUCCAUCUUUCCAGCUACUGUACCCAUAUUUUCCUAACCUUGAAAUGCCGGUGGCAGCGACGUUUCGUCAACAAAAAAAGGAUAGGCAUUUCCUCUGUUUCCAGCUCUUGUCUGUUUUGUUUCUUUUCUGACAUGCAGACAGGGGGCUGCCAUCUUGGGGUCAUGUGAGCGGAGAACGUGCUUUGGUUGGCCACUAGAAUAUUUCAGCUCAACCAGCAGCUCGGUAAUGCGCACACGGCGAGUUUUUACCCCUGUGAGGCGGAAAAUAUCUUAACUGGUCAGAUAUUCACCUCAGCGUCUCGUGAGGCAGAAAACUCAGUGAAAAUCAGGCGCACAUGGCGAGGUAUCUGCUGAGCAAGCGGUCAUUCGAGGCUGUUUGCUCAGCAGAUGGCACUCAUGUGUGGCAGGCUUGAAGGCACUGAGAAAAAUCAACAAUCACUGCAAAGAAUUCAAGCAGCUUUCAUUAGCGUAACGCUGGCACACACGGAAGCCAUCUCACUUUAUUCAUAAAUGAGAGCACAAAGCAACAGAAUGAACAGGAGUAGGGCUGGGCGAUAUGGCCUAAAAUCAAUAUCAACUUAUAUUGAAGAUCUCACCUCGAUAACGAUAAGUAGACGAUAACUACAGGAAUGCGUAGCAACAAUAUUUGUCCACUAGAUGGGGCUGUCUCAUGUAUUACAUUGACUAAAAUUUUACAUGACUCAAGGUGCUACAGCUUCUUAAAGGGACAUAAAUGUGGCCAACUUACACAUCUUUUCAUUUUUUUAUAAUCAAAUUUAUUGACAUGGGAAAAAUUAUCUGGAUGAGAGACAAGAACUUGGAUAACGAUAAAUCUUUGACAUGUUGCCCAGCCCUAAACAGGAGUCUAUCAGACUGCAUUUAUUGUUAUUUACAUGACAAUCUACUGAAAUAAAAAUGGCCACAGUCAGAGUUUCAGUUCAGAUGUGAUUAGUGUAUCAUCUCCCUUUCAUUUUUGUAAGGAUGAUACCAAUGAGCCGGACCUCGGAUGCAGCAGUUGUCCUCCUGACAACCAUCACCGAUGAUGCCGAGAGUCCAGGCAUGCUCAGUUGAAGUUUCCCUCUCUGCGCGUUCAAGAUGUAAGAAAAAUAAUACGAAAGAAAUGCAACAAUGAAAACUUCAAAAAGGCAUCAACAACCAAGCAAGUGGAUCCAUAAAAUGGACUGAUUUUUUUAAAGGCAUUUUUUAAAAAGUCUUUCAAAAUGGACAGAAUUAACGUGUUAAACAUGUUCAGAACAGUUUGCGUUCUCAUCUUUGAUUAAUCCUGGUAAACAGGUCUGUUUUUGUUCUGUUCUAAUUCUCUCUGUUUAAUACAUUUAAACAAAAUUACUUAGCUACUUUAUUAACUUUUUUCUCUGCAUAAAGACGAAGUAUCAGUAAAUAGUGGAAAUUAAAUGUAUUGGUAGUAAGCAAAUAGCAGAUGUUAAAUGUUACUUGCAGUAUGUGUUUAUAGAGAAAAUAGAGAUACUAAAAUUUACUAAAAGAAUAUUACGUCAAGUUUACUGUAAAGUGUACUUUCAAAACUGUAAGUAUACUCAAUUAUAUAAGAAGUACACUACAAGUAAACAUAUAUUAUUACUUUAAGUAUAAUUUUAAGUAUACAUUCAAAGAGAAAAGUAUACUCAAUUAUUUCAAAAGUACACUGCAAGUAAACGUAUAAUGUUAAAGUUUAUUUUUAAGUAUACUUUCAAGGGCAAAAGUACUCAAUUUUAUUAGAAGUAAACUUAUACUGUUACUUUUAAGUAUACUUUCAAGGAGAAAAGUAUACUCAAUUAUAUCUGAAGUACUCUAUAAGUGAACUUAUAUUAUUACUUAAAGUAUAUUUUAAGUAUACAUUCAAGAAGAAAAGUAUACUCAAUUGUAUGAAAAGUAAACUUAUAUUGUUACUUUAAGUAUACUUUCAAGGACAAAAGUAUACUUAAUUAUAUCAGAAGUACACUCCAAGUACACUUGUGAUUAGGGUUGUCACGGUAUGAAAAUGUAACCUCACGGUUAUUGUGACCAAAAUUAUCACGGUUUUCGGUAUUAUCGCGGUAUUUUUUAAACGGUGUUGCAUAUGUUCAGAAAGCAUUGAUAGUCCUGUUCUACACAAACUGAAAUAGUUCUGAAAAGGUUUAACAGUGUUUAUUAAAUCUAAAAUAACACAAAGUCAUAGCAAAAGUGCAACUUUUCACAAGUAAAGGAACAAAUAGCUUCUUUUUCUGGAACGUGUUACAGUAGUCAGUGCAGGUUUAAAUUAUACAAAUCCCAACAUUCAAAACAUAAACAAUAUGUAAACAAAUCAACGAAACACCACUUGUUUUCUCAUAUACUUGUUUUCUUCAUUAUCAAAAUGAAAAUCUAAAACUCCAGUCCACACUUGACUUGAGCGCUGUACAAGUCAACCUUAAAAAAUAUGUAUUUAAAAUAAAUAGCCACUUUAAACAAAUUACUAAAAUAACUACUACACUAUGUAAUCAAAUCCAAAUGUUCAAGUAUAAAUGGCAUUGAAUAAGUAAACAAAUCAAUGACAAGGAACUAAUUGUAUAUUUCUCUUCAUCAUCAACAAAUACGAUGCUUCAUCCAGCAACAGGGUGUCCGUGACACGGUUUAAAUGCUGGCAGAGGACGCUGCGGCUGCAGUAUAUAGUGACUCGUUGCAUUCUCCCUCAACCAAAAGUCCUCGCGUCAUGCAUUUAAGCUAAAAUGCUAAUGCUAACUUACCUUGCACUGGCUGUAGAGACGUGGGUGAUGGUCACACAGAUGUGCCGUUAGAUUCGAAGUGUUGCUGCCUUUUGCAGACACUUGUUUCCUGCACGUUCUGCAAACGGGAUAGCCGUCUUCUAUUAACUGUCCCUCAGCGUUUUUCAGAAGUCCAAAAUAUGCCCAUACUUCUGAUUUAGUCUUCUUUGAGGGCUGAUGGAUGUCCUGGGCGCUGCCGUCUCCUCCUUCGGCCGUUAUUCAGCUUCAAAGUUUUGGUGCCGUUGCAAACUAAAAAGUGCGUGUGCGCGCCGCGGGAACUUCAGCUGAAGCGACGGUGGCUGGUAAGGGUCACCGCGCUGAAACCGCGGCCACGGUAAACCCACCGAGAUAAUUUAGUUUUUUAAAAACUGGACGGUUAUUUUUAUUGUCAACUUUUUUACCGGGGUUUACCGCUAUACCGGUUACCGUGACAACCCUACUUGUGAUGUUACUUUAAGUAUACUUUCAAAGAGAAAAGUGUACUCAAUUAUAUCAGAAGUACACUACAAAUAAACUUAAAUUAUUACUUUGAAUUUAGACCCAAGGAGUAUAAUUCUAAGUAAACUUUAAGAACAAGUAUGCAAAUAAACUUAUGUACACUUAAGCAUACUUGAAAUUAGAUACUUAAAGUAUACUUCUUUUUCGUAAGGGUUUCAGAAACUAAAGUUUUUGCAAUGUUAUACUAAUGUUACUGCAAAGUAAUAUUAACCUUAAGAUAACGUUUCAGAAACGUUAAUCUUCUGUUCCAUUAUUGUUUUGCUAACCUUAAGAUAACGUUCCAGAAUCAUUAUGCUGAUGUUCAAGCGUUGUUUUGCUAACCUUAAGAUAACGUUCCAGAUACAUUAUACUUGUCAUGUUCUGUGUCCCUUUGUUCCCCAUCCCCUCCAAUUCCCACUCCAGGUUCUCCUUUUGUGUUUCAUAUCGCCCUCAUAUGUCCUUUGUCUGCAUCUCAUUUAUGUGUCUCCUGUGUUCCUUUAGUCUUCUCCAGUCACCCCUCUGCAGCCAGUCAUCCCUCUGCAGUGUUUAUGGUUUCAGCUUUUCAUUUUUAUUAGUCUCUUUAAUAUGUUUUGUCCCACCGGUUUUUGUAGUUCUCCUUCCCUUUAGAAUUUUAGUUAUAUGGUUGCUUUUGUGUUUUUAGGUUCACUCUUAGGUCAUGUUAGUUUCUUCCCUGAUUAGUCAUUGCUUUCACCUGGUCCUCCCCCCACACUCCACACACCUGCAGCUCAUCUGCCUCCCAUUAUGCCCCAGUGUAUUUAAGCCCUGUCUUGUCUCUGUGUCUUGUCGGUCCAUUGUUGUUUGUUGUAAUUCUGUCAAGUUCUUCUCGUGCCUCUAGUGCUUGGAUCUAGUCUUCUCGUGCCUCUUGUAUUUUUGGAUCUCCAGAUCUCUAUCUGGAUUUUUGGACUGUUGGCUCCCAGCCUUUUGGAUUACUUUUGUUUUUUGGUUACUCCUAAAAUAAAGGAUUUCACUUUA
This is a non-coding RNA of Nothobranchius furzeri (turquoise killifish), 4750 nucleotides long. The record is from RefSeq and is a predicted model, not a curated record. NCBI's taxonomy places the organism in Eukaryota, Metazoa, Chordata, Actinopteri, Cyprinodontiformes, Nothobranchiidae.